Molecule: non-coding RNA, 30 nt
Filed under: Homo sapiens (human)
Lineage: Eukaryota; Metazoa; Chordata; Mammalia; Primates; Hominidae
Source: RNAcentral
UAAAUGUAAUCCAGCAUAUAAACAGAGCCA